AAGCAGGGGAUCGUAAGACCUUGCGCUUUUGGAGUGGCCGAUGCCUGAUUAGCUAGUUGGUGGGGUAAGGGCCUACCAAGGCAACGAUCAGUAGCUGGUCUGAGAGGACGACCAGCCACACUGGGACUGAGACACGGCCCAGACUCCUACGGGAGGCAGCAGUGGGGAAUUUUGGACAAUGGGCGAAAGCCUGAUCCAGCAAUGCCGCGUGAGUGAAGAAGGCCUUCGGGUUGUAAAGCUCUUUCAGUCGAGAAGAAAAGGUUGUGACUAAUAAUCACAACUUAUGACGGUACCGACAGAAGAAGCACCGGCUAACUACGUGCCAGCAGCCGCGGUAAUACGUAGGGUGCGAGCGUUAAUCGGAAUUACUGGGCGUAAAGGGUGCGCAGGCGGCUUUGUAAGUCAGAUGUGAAAUCCCCGGGCUUAACCUGGGAAUUGCGUUUGAAACUACAAAGCUUAGA
This 461-nucleotide ribosomal RNA is filed under the name uncultured ammonia-oxidizing beta proteobacterium. RNAcentral describes it as "bacterial SSU rRNA". It matches the Rfam family "Bacterial small subunit ribosomal RNA", at positions 202 to 646 of the family's 1533-position model. Lineage: Bacteria; Pseudomonadati; Pseudomonadota; Betaproteobacteria. The record is from RNAcentral.